UGGGGAAUCUUAGACAAUGGGCGCAAGCCUGAUCUAGCCAUGCCGCGUGUGUGAUGAAGGCCUUAGGGUCGUAAAGCACUUUCGCCAGGGAUGAUAAUGACAGUACCUGGUAAAGAAACCCCGGCUAACUCCGUGCCAGCAGCCGCGGUAAUACGGAGGGGGUUAGCGUUGUUCGGAAUUACUGGGCGUAAAGCGCACGUAGGCGGAUUAGAAAGUUGGGGGUGAAAUCCCGGGGCUCAACCCCGGAACUGCCUCCAAAACUCCUAGUCUAGAGUUCGAGAGAGGUGAGUGGAAUUCCGAGUGUAGAGGUGAAAUUCGUAGAUAUUCGGAGGAACACCAGUGGCGAAGGCGGCUCACUGGCUCGAUACUGACGCUGAGGUGCGAAAGUGUGGGGAGCAAACAGGAUUAGAUACCCUGGUAGUCCACACCGUAAACGAUGAAUGCCAGUCGUCGGAUAGUAUACUAUUCGGUGACACACCUAACGGAUUAAGCAUUCCGCCUGGGGAGUACGGUCGCAAGAUUA
RNAcentral lists this ribosomal RNA (523 nucleotides) under uncultured bacterium. Its description in RNAcentral is "bacterial SSU rRNA". It matches the Rfam family "Bacterial small subunit ribosomal RNA", at positions 355 to 896 of the family's 1533-position model. The record is from RNAcentral.